UACGGAGGGGGCUAGAGUUUUUCGGAAUUACUGGGCGUAAAGCGCACGUAGGCGGAUUGUUAAGUCGGGGGUGAAAUCACGGGGCUCAACCCCGGAAUGGCCUCCGAUACUGGCAAUCUUGAGGUCGGGAGAGGUGAGUGGAAUGGCGAGUGUAGAGGUGAAAUUCGUAGAUAUUCGCCGGAACACCAGUGGCGAAGGCGGCUCACUGGCCCGAUACUGACGCUGAGGUGCGACAGCGUGGGGAGCAAACAGG
Molecule: ribosomal RNA, 253 nt
Filed under: uncultured bacterium
Lineage: Bacteria
Description: partial 16S ribosomal RNA
Rfam family: Bacterial small subunit ribosomal RNA
Source: RNAcentral